AUUGAACGCUGGCGGCAGGCCUAACACAUGCAAGUCGAACGGUAACAGGAAGAAGCUUGCUUCUUUGCUGACGAGUGGCGGACGGGUGAGUAAUGUCUGGGAAACUGCCGGAUGGAGGGGGAUAACUACUGGAAACGGUAGCUAAUACCGCAUAACGUCGCAAGACCAAAGAGGGGGACCUUCGGGCCUCUUGCCAUCGGAUGUGCCCAGAUGGGAUUAGCUAGUAGGUGGGGUAACGGCUCACCUAGGCGACGAUCCCUAGCUGGUCUGAGAGGAUGACCAGCCACACUGGAACUGAGACACGGUCCAGACUCCUACGGGAGGCAGCAGUGGGGAAUAUUGCACAAUGGGCGCAAGCCUGAUGCAGCCAUGCCGCGUGUAUGAAGAAGGCCUUCGGGUUGUAAAGUACUUUCAGCGGGGAGGAAGGGAGUAAAGUUAAUACCUUUGCUCAUUGACGUUACCCGCAGAAGAAGCACCGGCUAACUCCGUG
This 490-nucleotide ribosomal RNA is filed under the name uncultured bacterium. Its description in RNAcentral is "partial 16S ribosomal RNA". It matches the Rfam family "Bacterial small subunit ribosomal RNA", at positions 30 to 507 of the family's 1533-position model. The record is from RNAcentral.